Molecule: transfer RNA, 89 nt
Filed under: Colletotrichum graminicola M1.001
Lineage: Eukaryota; Fungi; Ascomycota; Sordariomycetes; Glomerellales; Glomerellaceae
Description: tRNA-Asp for anticodon GUC
Rfam family: tRNA
About the family: Transfer RNA (tRNA) molecules are approximately 80 nucleotides in length. Their secondary structure includes four short double-helical elements and three loops (D, anti-codon, and T loops).
Source: Rfam by way of RNAcentral
UCCCCGAUAGUCUAGUGGUGAGGAUAUCUGCUUGUCACUGCAAUAGCAGCAGCUCGCAGGGGACCGGGGUUCAAUUCCCCGUCGAGGAG